This 484-nucleotide ribosomal RNA is filed under the name uncultured bacterium. Its description in RNAcentral is "partial 16S ribosomal RNA". It matches the Rfam family "Bacterial small subunit ribosomal RNA", at positions 29 to 507 of the family's 1533-position model. The record is from RNAcentral.
AUUGAACGCUGGCGGCAUGCUUUACACAUGCAAGUCGAACGGCAGCGCGGGCUUCGGCCUGGCGGCGAGUGGCGAACGGGUGAGUAAUGCAUCGGAACGUGCCCAGUAGUGGGGGAUAGCCCGGCGAAAGUCGGAUUAAUACCGCAUACGACCUGAGGGUGAAAGCGGGGGACCGAAAGGCCUCGCGCUAUUGGAGCGGCCGAUGUCGGAUUAGCUAGUUGGUGGGGUAAAGGCUUACCAAGGCGACGAUCCGUAGCUGGUCUGAGAAGACGACCAGCCACACUGGGACUGAGACACGGCCCAGACUCCUACGGGAGGCAGCAGUGGGGAAUUUUGGACAAAGGGGGCAACCCUGAUCCAGCCAUGCCGCGUGCGGGAAGAAGGCCUUCGGGUUGUAAACCGCUUUUGUUCGGGAAGAAAUCCUCUGGGCUAAUACCCCGGGGGGAUGACGGUACCGGAAGAAUAAGCACCGGCUAACUACGUG